GCUCUACACAAAGAAAUUUCAUGUUAGAAAAUUAAGAGAGGGGAGAGAGAGGAAAGAGCCCCUCUGGACCUUGGAUUGGCCUCACAGUAGCCUUUUCUUCCUUGAGAGGCACAACAGGA
This is a small nucleolar RNA of Marmota monax (woodchuck), 119 nucleotides long. RefSeq annotates it as small nucleolar RNA SNORA64/SNORA10 family. NCBI's taxonomy places the organism in Eukaryota, Metazoa, Chordata, Mammalia, Rodentia, Sciuridae. The transcript has a single exon. The record is from RefSeq and is a predicted model, not a curated record.